Molecule: long non-coding RNA, 339 nt
Filed under: Rattus norvegicus (Norway rat)
Lineage: Eukaryota; Metazoa; Chordata; Mammalia; Rodentia; Muridae
Description: long non-coding RNA NONRATT015544
Source: RNAcentral
GGGGGGCAGGGGGCUCUGUUGGGAGUGGCAGCACAGGAGCUUCAGUGGCAACUGUAGUGAUGGUAGAGGAAGUGACAGCCCCCUCCCCCUUGCCCAAAACAGGCAAGGCCAGAGGUCCAGGAACAGGUGGGACAGCCACAGGCAGCAGGGGUGUGAUGUCUGGCUGCCCCACCAUCUGGUCAAGGGCUACAGGCCUCAUGACCAAAUGUGAGCACUGCAUGACAAGCCCCUUGUCUUUGUGCUCACGGGCAUGCAGGAGUAGGCUACACUUGUUGAAGAAAACCAGGCGACGGGCACAGUGGUUACAGGUGACCUCUAUACGCAUGCUUCUGCGAUCAU